Molecule: long non-coding RNA, 377 nt
Filed under: Ananas comosus (pineapple)
Lineage: Eukaryota; Viridiplantae; Streptophyta; Magnoliopsida; Poales; Bromeliaceae
Description: long non-coding RNA (ACOM_LNC011509)
Source: RNAcentral
AAAAAGAGAGAGAGAGUUAUUUUAGUGCACCUUGUGCACGGAUGCACGCGGAGAGGUCUUCUUUGUGGGUUUAUAGAAGGCGAGAGAAAGAUAGGAGAGAUUCAAAAAGAGGGCUAGAGUUGUAGCUACUCUGUUGCAGAAGAGGAGUCAGGUGUAAUCUUCUCUUAUUUAAUGAAUCUUAUUUUACCCGCAUAUUUUCUGUUUUGUUUUUUUUUUCUCUCUUUUAUGAUUGUAUCAGCUUUUGCUGAGGAGACGGAUUUAUGGUAAAAAUUGGUAAAAAUUCGAUUUGGCGCUUCCGUUGCGGAAUCCCAAUAAUCGAUACCGGAUCCACAGCAGUCGGUAUCGGAGCGGAUUGCGGAUUCACGAGAUCCGGUACC